UCCCCCCUCCGAAUGCACUGAAAUUGCAUAUUCAUUGUGGAAAUAGUUUAAAUCUCAUGUGGAGAAAGUUUGAAAAGGAUAGGACAAAGUUGAGUUCCCUUAAAGGUUACAUUACACUAAAUCAUUGUGUAUCCCUCCGUGGUCCAUUCGAAAGUAGUGCCUAUUUCUAAAGAGUUCCUUUUCUCUUCUUGAAUAUAAGCCAUUUAACAAUGUGAGACAUGUCUUUUGUGGUUAUUUGUAAUAUCCUGUAUGUGUCUGGAGUACUUUGAUGCCUUGGAUUGGAAGCUAACUUAAAAGAUGGACUUUUGAGGGUGUGUUUUCUAUUGUGUGGGGCUUUUGUCGAAAUUAGGAUUCCGAAACACGUUUUUCAACGGUGGGUUCAUUCGACAGCGAUUUACUUUCUUAGAAGUUGCGAGACGGUAUGUUUUUGAUUGCAAUUAUUGGAAGAGGACAGAUCCAUCUUUAAAAUGAUACCAGGUUCGGAAAAAUUGAUACGUCGAAAAGGCAAGAAAAAUGCUGUGAAAGUUGUCAGUUUUAUAAGGGGACCCUAUGGGAAUCGGAAUUAGUGUAAUAUAACCUUAAAAAAGCACAUUUACUGCAAUGUCAAGGUCACAUUGAUUCGUCUGCAAUCGAGACAAGUAGAACAUGAAUUUUAAUGAAUGUUUUGAUGAUUUGGGUGCUAAAAUAGAUGAGAGAUGUCAAUAUUUUGGUUCAAAUGGAUGUUUUAGGUGGUUUUGGACUGUUCCGGAUGGGAGGGGGACCUGGUAUGGACAAGUAAGGGUUACAUUUCCAACAAAUCUUGAAUGUAAAUAUUAUUAUGUCCAAAGAUUGAAGUUUCAGGUGGAGAGCAAGAUGAAAAAUAUGCCAAAUCACAUGAAUGCAACCCAUUUAUGCCAUUUUUCUCUUUGUUUGUAGGCCUGACCAUUUGUCCCUUUUGCCGCAGACGGUCAACAAUCCGCUAGCUGUCUUGCUCUGACUGGUGCACUGGACAUGAUUUCAAUGAGAGUCAUCAUACUGAUUGUUUAAUUCAAACAUGAAUUUCAGUUUGUUCGUUAGAGUACUAACUUAGCUGUGUAUUUACAGUGGACGUAGUGGUGCGUCGCAUGCGGUAGACUAGGUAUUUCCAUAUAUACACUAUGUUUACAGAAUUGCGGCCGGUGAAGCAACAUAGCUGAUGAGUAAAUAGCGCUAGUUCUUCAGACAAAUAACUUUAUUUUCAACCUAUAAAGCAUAUUUAGCUGUAGGUGGGGCCAUUUAGCUGUAAGAUCUGGCUUUGGUUCUGUUAAGCCCUUAGAGUAAUGAAUUUCAGAGUGAAGACCAUAGCGCCUUUUCCUAGUCGAGUAUCGGGCAGCUGUAUGUCUUUUCAGAAAUGCACAUGUCUUCUUUAGUAUGUCAUUGUGAUUGCUUUUAAGAUAGGCAAUAAACUCAUAACCUUUAGAAAAAGGAGCAUCUGUAAAUUCAGAUUUCACUAUUUCAGAGUCAGCCAGACCAUGAUUGAGCUUAAGGAUUGUGCUGCGGAUGCGGCCUGUGCAGUUCCGGGAGAAAGUCACUGUCUUGGGCAUUGCGGUCUGGUAUCAGGUCUGGAUGAUCCUUGCCUGACUCCGGGUUUGCGUACACCUCAAUCCGACUCCCUGUCCGGUACCAUGGCCGCAGUGGUGCAGCCCUUGUGGACGAUCCAUCGACAUCCUGAAAGGUCAACACUUCACCAAGCUGGGAAAAUUGAUCCUGAUAGUCAUCCCCAGGUAGUGAAAUGAAUGUACACUGAACUACAGAGGAAUCACACCCAAAUGACUUUUCUGACAUUAGUGUGGCCCCUCGGGCAGGAACUCCUUAGCAAACAUGCUUUUUUGCAUGGGGACUGUGGCAUUUUUGCAAAACUUAAGCUUUCAACGCUGGAUUUUAAAGAGAACACUUAAUAAAAUGAAGCCAACAGGACUUAUUUUAAUGAGAGAGACUAUCUGGAUGAGCAACAAAUGUCACAUUGUGUCGUAAGCUGUUGAAGGAGCGAUUUGCGCCAUUUCAAGUGUUAAUUUUGGGUAGCAGGCUUGUAUCGGCUUGAAAGCUGCAAAUUAUUCCUCUCAUCAUGAUAGCAUUAAUUAUUUUAAUUGCAAUGUGUAUGUUUAGAUUGUAAGUGAAGCUUUUAAUAAUAAUUUUCUUGAAAAACAUGAUUUUAUAUGCUGUCAGUGAGUUUUUUUGUGUGAAAAAAGUGCUUAAAAUAAAAAAAAAGUCUCCUUUUUCAUCAAGAAAAGUACACUGAUUCACAAUCAAUACAUUUAUUUGGGCCUUUUGCUGAUAUAUUGGUGAAUUUCGCAUGCAAUGAUCCCAGUUUUUGCCAUAAAAGUUACGCGUAACAAUAAUUAGAGACACAAAAUCAGCUGUCGUCACUUAGACUAAAAAUCAUGCAUUCCGACUUGACUGCGGCCAAUUUAGUCACCGCUUUAAACGGCCAUUUUAAGGCCUUUUCCCCCCUCCGAAUGCACUGAAAUUGCAUAUUCAUUGUGGAAAUAGUUUAAAUCUCAUGUGGAGAAAGUUUGAAAAGGAUAGGACAAAGUUGAGUUCCCUUAAAAAAGCACAUUUACUGCAAUGUCAAGGUCACAUUGAUUCGUCUGCAAUCGAGACAAGUAGAACAUGAAUUUUAAUGAAUGUUUUGAUGAUUUGGGUGCUAAAAUAGAUGAGAGAUGUCAAUAUUUUGGUUCAAAUGGAUGUUUUAGGUGGUUUUGGACUGUUCCGGAUGGGAGGGGGACCUGGUAUGGACAAGUAAGGGUUACAUUUCCAACAAAUCUUGAAUGUAAAUAUUAUUAUGUCCAAAGAUUGAAGUUUCAGGUGGAGAGCAAGAUGAAAAAUAUGCCAAAUCACAUGAAUGCAACCCAUUUAUGCCAUUUUUCUCUUUGUUUGUAGGCCUGACCAUUUGUCCCUUUUGCCGCAGACGGUCAACAAUCCGCUAGCUGUCUUGCUCUGACUGGUGCACUGGACAUGAUUUCAAUGAGAGUCAUCAUACUGAUUGUUUAAUUCAAACAUGAAUUUCAGUUUGUUCGUUAGAGUACUAACUUAGCUGUGUAUUUACAGUGGACGUAGUGGUGCGUCGCAUGCGGUAGACUAGGUAUUUCCAUAUAUACACUAUGUUUACAGAAUUGCGGCCGGUGAAGCAACAUAGCUGAUGAGUAAAUAGCGCUAGUUCUUCAGACAAAUAACUUUAUUUUCAACCUAUAAAGCAUAUUUAGCUGUAGGUGGGGCCAUUUAGCUGUAAGAUCUGGCUUUGGUUCUGUUAAGCCCUUAGAGUAAUGAAUUUCAGAGUGAAGACCAUAGCGCCUUUUCCUAGUCGAGUAUCGGGCAGCUGUAUGUCUUUUCAGAAAUGCACAUGUCUUCUUUAGUAUGUCAUUGUGAUUGCUUUUAAGAUAGGCAAUAAACUCAUAACCUUUAGAAAAAGGAGCAUCUGUAAAUUCAGAUUUCACUAUUUCAGAGUCAGCCAGACCAUGAUUGAGCUUAAGGAUUGUGCUGCGGAUGCGGCCUGUGCAGUUCCGGGAGAAAGUCACUGUCUUGGGCAUUGCGGUCUGGUAUCAGGUCUGGAUGAUCCUUGCCUGACUCCGGGUUUGUGUACACCUCAAUCCGACUCCCUGUCCGGUACCAUGGCCGCAGUGGUGCAGCCCUUGUGGACGAUCCAUCGACAUCCUGAAAGGUCAACACUUCACCAAGCUGGGAAAAUUGAUCCUGAUAGUCAUCCCCAGAGUCAGCCAGACCAUGAUUGAGCUUAAGGAUUGUGCUGCGGAUGCGGCCUGUGCAGUUCCGGGAGAAAGUCACUGUCUUGGGCAUUGCGGUCUGGUAUCAGGUCUGGAUGAUCCUUGCCUGACUCCGGGUUUGUGUACACCUCAAUCCGACUCCCUGUCCGGUACCAUGGCCGCAGUGGUGCAGCCCUUGUGGACGAUCCAUCGACAUCCUGAAAGGUCAACACUUCACCAAGCUGGGAAAAUUGAUCCUGAUAGUCAUCCCCAGGUAGUGAAAUGAAUGUACACUGAACUACAGAGGAAUCACACCCAAAUGACUUUUCUGACAUUAGUGUGGCCCCUCGGGCAGGAACUCCUUAGCAAACAUGCUUUUUUGCAUGGGGACUGUGGCAUUUUUGCAAAACUUAAGCUUUCAACGCUGGAUUUUAAAGAGAACACUUAAUAAAAUGAAGCCAACAGGACUUAUUUUAAUGAGAGAGACUAUCUGGAUGAGCAACAAAUGUCACAUUGUGUCGUAAGCUGUUGAAGGAGCGAUUUGCGCCAUUUCAAGUGUUAAUUUUGGGUAGCAGGCUUGUAUCGGCUUGAAAGCUGCAAAUUAUUCCUCUCAUCAUGAUAGCAUUAAUUAUUUUAAUUGCAAUGUGUAUGUUUAGAUUGUAAGUGAAGCUUUUAAUAAUAAUUUUCUUGAAAAACAUGAUUUUAUAUGCUGUCAGUGAGUUUUUUUGUGUGAAAAAAGUGCUUAAAAUAAAAAAAAAGUCUCCUUUUUCAUCAAGAAAAGUACACUGAUUCACAAACAAUACAUUUAUUUGGGCCUUUUGCUGAUAUAUUGGUGAAUUUCGCAUGCAAUGAUCCCAGUUUUUGCCAUAAAAGUUACGCGUAACAAUAAUUAGAGACACAAAAUCAGCUGUCGUCACUUAGACUAAAAAUCAUGCAUUCCGACUUGACUGCGGCCAAUUUAGUCACCGCUUUAAACGGCCAUUUUAAGGCCUUUUCCCCCCUCCGAAUGCACUGAAAUUGCAUAUUCAUUGUGGAAAUAGUUUAAAUCUCAUGUGGAGAAAGUUUGAAAAGGAUAGGACAAAGUUGAGUUCCCUUAAAGGUUACAUUACACUAAAUCAUUGUGUAUCCCUCCGUGGUCCAUUCGAAAGUAGUGCCUAUUUCUAAAGAGUUCCUUUUCUCUUCUUGAAUAUAAGCCAUUUAACAAUGUGA
Dreissena polymorpha is the source of this 4925-nucleotide long non-coding RNA. RefSeq lists it as uncharacterized. The transcript has 6 exons. NCBI's taxonomy places the organism in Eukaryota, Metazoa, Mollusca, Bivalvia, Myida, Dreissenidae. The record is from RefSeq and is a predicted model, not a curated record.